UACGUAGGGUACGAGCGUUGUCCGGAAUUAUUGGGCGUAAAGAGCUCGUAGGUGGUUGGUCACGUCUGCUGUGGAAACGCAACGCUUAACGUUGCGCGGGCAGUGGGUACGGGCUGACUAGAGUGCAGUAGGGGAGUCUGGAAUUCCUGGUGUAGCGGUGAAAUGCGCAGAUAUCAGGAGGAACACCAAUGGCGAAGGCAGGUCUCUGGGCAGUUACUGACGCUGAGGAGCGAAAGCAUGGGUAGCGAACAGGAUUAGA
RNAcentral lists this ribosomal RNA (259 nucleotides) under uncultured prokaryote. RNAcentral's name for it is "partial 16S ribosomal RNA". It matches the Rfam family "Bacterial small subunit ribosomal RNA", at positions 524 to 782 of the family's 1533-position model. The record is from RNAcentral.